This 159-nucleotide ribosomal RNA is filed under the name Garcinia nervosa. RNAcentral's name for it is "5.8S ribosomal RNA". It matches the Rfam family "5.8S ribosomal RNA". Rfam says of the family: 5.8S ribosomal RNA (5.8S rRNA) is a component of the large subunit of the eukaryotic ribosome. Lineage: Eukaryota; Viridiplantae; Streptophyta; Magnoliopsida; Malpighiales; Clusiaceae. The record is from RNAcentral.
GACUCUCGGCAACGGAUAUCUCGGCUCUUGCAUCGAUGAAGAACGUAGCGAAAUGCGAUACGUGGUGUGAAUUGCAGAAUCCCGUGAACCAUCGAGUUUUUGAACGCAAGUUGCGCCCAAGGCCUUUUGGUUGAGGGCACGUCUGCCUGGGUGUCACAC